Molecule: ribosomal RNA, 394 nt
Filed under: uncultured prokaryote
Description: partial 16S ribosomal RNA
Source: RNAcentral
CCCUAUGGGGUGCACCAGAUCCUCAUGAAUUUGUUGUUCAAUCAGCCAGCCCUGUUGCCGAUUUUUCAGCUAGCAUUACGGUGAUAGAAGCGGGGGCAAAUGUAUCAUUUAGCGAUAUAUCAUCAAAUAAUCCCACAUCCUGGUCCUGGUCAUUUCCAGGGGGCACACCCUCCACGAGCACGAGCCAGAAUCCUGUAAUCACUUACAAUACAACCGGUACCUAUGAUGUAACCUUAACAGCUACCAAUUGUGUGGGCAGUGAUAUUGAAACAAAGACCAGCUAUAUUUCAGUGAUAACAACCGAGGUUUAUACUACUCCAGGCACGACGAGUGUAUCUGUACCGCCAUGUGCGACGGGUGUAAUAGUAGAGGCCUGGGGUGGCGGCGGGGGGGC